RNAcentral lists this ribosomal RNA (253 nucleotides) under uncultured bacterium. RNAcentral's name for it is "partial 16S ribosomal RNA". It matches the Rfam family "Bacterial small subunit ribosomal RNA", at positions 524 to 776 of the family's 1533-position model. The record is from RNAcentral.
UACGUAGGGGGCAAGCGUUAUCCGGAUUUACUGGGUGUAAAGGGGGCGCAGACGGCGAUGCAAGCCAGGAGUGAAAGCCCGGGGCCCAACCCCGGGACUGCUCUUGGAACUGCGUGGCUGGAGUGCAGGAGGGGCAGGCGGAAUUCCUGGUGUAGCGGUGAAAUGCGUAGAUAUCAGGAGGAACACCAGUGGCGAAGGCGGAUUGCUGGACAGUAACUGACGCUGAGGCGCGAAAGCGUGGGUAGCAAACAGG